UGAGCAAGACAGACAAUCGCGGUGCGCAUAUGCGCAAUGAGGAAAGUCCGGGCUCCGGGGCAAGGAUGCCGGGUAACUCCCGGUGAAGGUAACUUUAAGGAAAGUGCAACAGAAAUAUACCGCCCUUAAGCAUAAGAGAGUUAAAGCCGCAUAGUUUAAAAAACGUAAAAGUGUGCUGUGCGUGUUUGAUUCUCUUAUGCUUAGGGGUAAGGUUGGAAUGGUGAGGUAAGAGCUCACCGGCGCCUGGGUAAUCAGGCGGCCAUGUAAACCCCAUCCGGAGCAACGCUGGCGUGGCGGAAAAUGUUAUAGACGGCCCGUCUCUUUUUCGGUCAGCGGCUUGAGCCAUGCAGAGAUGUACGGCCUAGAUAGAUGAUUGUCCAACGACAGAACCCGGCUUAUAGGCUUGCUCGUAAA
This 414-nucleotide RNase P RNA is filed under the name Bacillota bacterium. Its description in RNAcentral is "RNase P RNA component class A". It matches the Rfam family "Bacterial RNase P class A". From Rfam's summary of the family: Ribonuclease P (RNase P) is a ubiquitous endoribonuclease, found in archaea, bacteria and eukarya as well as chloroplasts and mitochondria. Lineage: Bacteria; Bacillati; Bacillota. The record is from RNAcentral.